UGAGGAACAUGACCUUCGGCGGGGGAUAGCCGGCCCAACGGCCGGGUAAUACCGCGUACGACCACAUGGGGACAUCCCUGAGUGGUGAAAGCAGCAAUGCGCCGAUGGAGCGCCUCGCGGCCUAUCAGCUAGUUGGUGAGGUAACGGCUCACCAAGGCGACGACGGGUAGCUGGUCUGAGAGGAUGGCCAGCCACAUUGGGACUGAGACACGGCCCAGACCUNUACCGGGAGG
RNAcentral lists this ribosomal RNA (233 nucleotides) under uncultured bacterium. Its description in RNAcentral is "partial 16S ribosomal RNA". It matches the Rfam family "Bacterial small subunit ribosomal RNA", at positions 118 to 348 of the family's 1533-position model. The record is from RNAcentral.